Molecule: unclassified non-coding RNA, 267 nt
Filed under: Hevea brasiliensis (rubber tree)
Lineage: Eukaryota; Viridiplantae; Streptophyta; Magnoliopsida; Malpighiales; Euphorbiaceae
Source: RNAcentral
GCGCAGAAGGGUCGUGGUAGUUGCUUACAUCAAUCCAAGGGCGCCACCGAUGGAUCAGUACUGGUUUAGUAUUUACCUUUCAAAAAACAGUAUUCUCUUAAUGAUGUUUAGAGAAAAAUUGAGUUGAAAAUGUGGUACAUGAGAUGUCUCUUUUAGCAUUCGACUAUGUAUUUCGAUUUCCAGUGGAUUGCCUACAAAUUAUUUAAUGAAACAUUUAAAGUGUUUUCUUGUAUUGUCUGCUCGUUUUACCCUUUUCGGGGAAACAUG